Pogona vitticeps (central bearded dragon) is the source of this 110-nucleotide non-coding RNA. The record is from RefSeq and is a predicted model, not a curated record. Lineage: Eukaryota; Metazoa; Chordata; Lepidosauria; Squamata; Agamidae.
CAAUCCUCUUUGAGAUACUUUGUCUGGCAAACUGUUACUCCUUAUUAGAUGCUAAAUCUUCAAUCAAGGCUAAGUUUGGCAUUUCGUCUCAUUGGUCACAUUAUACCCCG